RNAcentral lists this unclassified non-coding RNA (351 nucleotides) under soil metagenome. RNAcentral describes it as "partial contains 5.8S ribosomal RNA, internal transcribed spacer 2, and large subunit ribosomal RNA". The stretch from base 1 to 122 matches the Rfam family "5.8S ribosomal RNA", at positions 35 to 154 of the family's 154-position model. The record is from RNAcentral.
GAUGAAGAACGUAGCGAAAUGCGAUAAGUAAUGCGAAUUGCAGAAUUUCUAGUGAAUCAUCGAAUCUUUGAACGCACAUUGCGCCCGCCAGUAUUCUGGCGGGCAUGCCUGUCUGAGCGUCAUUUCAACCCUCACGCCCCUAGGGCGUGGUGUUGGGGAUCGGCCAGCGCCCUCGCGGGCGAGGCCGUCCCCUAAAUCUAGUGGCGGACCCGUCGUGGCCUCCCCUGCGAAGUAGUGAUAUUCCGCAUAGGAGAGCGACGAGCCCCUGCCGUUAAACCCCCAACUUUCUCAGGUUGACCUCAGAUCAGGUAGGAAUACCCGCUGAACUUAAGCAUAUCAAUAAGCGGAGGA